RNAcentral lists this ribosomal RNA (1004 nucleotides) under Alexandrium catenella. RNAcentral describes it as "partial large subunit ribosomal RNA". It matches the Rfam family "Eukaryotic large subunit ribosomal RNA", at positions 134 to 1094 of the family's 3401-position model. The record is from RNAcentral. Lineage: Eukaryota; Dinophyceae; Gonyaulacales; Pyrocystaceae.
GGCUUUGAAUUGUAUUGUGGAAAUGUAUUACCAACAGAGGUGCAGGUGCCAGCCUAUUGAAAUAAAGCGUCAAUGAGGGUGAGAAUCCUGUUUGUCAUGUGCAGCCCUUUGUGCACGGUGUAUAUUUGCUGAGUCACACUCCUUGGCAUUGGAAUGCAAAGUGGGUGGUAAGUUUCAUGUAAAGGUAAACAUGCAAUUGAGACUGAUAGCACACAAGUACCAUGAGGGAAAUAUGAAAAGGACUUUGAAAAGAGAAUUAAAUGAGUUUGUAUUUGCUGAACACAAAGUAAACAGACUUGAUUUGCUUGGUGGGAGUGUUGCACUUGCUUGACAAGAGCUUUGGGCUGUGGGUGUAAUGAUUCUUUCUUUGCAUGCCAGUUUCUAUUUGUACAUCUGAUUACCUUUGCACAUGAAUGAUAAGUCUCCUGUGGGGGGUGGAUUGCAUGUGCAUGUAAUGAUUUGUGUUUUGAUAAAUGUGUCUGGUGUAUGUGUGUGUUCCUGUGCUUGGGGAUGCUUCCUUCCUUGGACUUACAAGCCCUGACACACACAUGCUGGCAAAAUGCUUCUGCUUGACCCGUCUUGAAACACGGACCAAGGAGUCUAACAGAUGUGCAAAGUUUGAAGGUGGUAUACCUUUGUGUGCAAUGAAAGUGUCAGCUGGGAUAUGUGCACCAGCACCCAAUUAAUUAGCGGACAGAGGUUUGAGUUGGAGCAUAUCUAUUAGGACCCGAAAGAUGGUGAACUAUGCCUGAACAGAAUGAAUUCAGAGGAAACUCUGAUGGAGGUUCGUAUCGAUACUGACGUGCAAAUCGUUCGUCAUAUUUGGGUAUAGGGGCGAAAGACUAAUCGAACCAUCUAGUAGCUGGUUCCCUCCGAAGUUUCCCUCAGGAUAGCUGGAGUUGCUCAGUUUUAUCAGGUAAAGCGAAUGAUUAGAGGAAUUGGGGACAGGUUUGUCUUUGACCUAUUCUCAAACUUUAAAUGGGUAAUAUGUAGUGGUUGCUGUA